AUGCUCAUCUCAGCAAUACAUAUACUAAAAUUGGAAUAACACAGAGAUUAGCAAAGCCCUUACACAAGGAUGGCUUGAAUAUUCAUGAAGUAAAACAAGAAAAA
Small nuclear RNA from Notamacropus eugenii (tammar wallaby), 104 nucleotides. The record is from Ensembl. Lineage: Eukaryota; Metazoa; Chordata; Mammalia; Diprotodontia; Macropodidae.